This 468-nucleotide ribosomal RNA is filed under the name uncultured bacterium. RNAcentral describes it as "partial 16S ribosomal RNA". It matches the Rfam family "Bacterial small subunit ribosomal RNA", at positions 28 to 507 of the family's 1533-position model. The record is from RNAcentral.
GACGAACGCUGGCGGCGUGCUUAACACAUGCCAGUCGAACGGAAAGGCCCUGCUUUUGUGGGGUGCUCGAGUGGCGAACGGGUGAGUAACACGUGAGUAACCUGCCCUUGACUUUGGGAUAACUUCAGGAAACUGGGGCUAAUACCGGAUAGGAGCUCCUGCUGCAUGGUGGGGGUUGGAAAGUUUCGGCGGUUGGGGAUGGACUCGCGGCUUAUCAGCUUGUUGGUGGGGUAGUGGCUGACCAAGGCUUUGACGGGUAGCCGGCCUGAGAGGGUGACCGGCGACAUUGGGACUGAGAUACGGCCCAGAAGCCUACGGGAGGCAGCAGUGGGGAAUAUUGCACAAUGGGCGGAAGCCUGAUGCAGCAACGCCGCGUGCGGGAUGACGGCCUUCGGGUUGUAAACCGCUUUCGCCUGUGACGAAGCGUGAGUGACGGUAAUGGGUAAAGAAGCACCGGCUAACUACGUG